AGCGAACGCUGGCGGCAGGCUUAACACAUGCAAGUCGAGCGCCCCGCAAGGGGAGCGGCAGACGGGAGAGUAACACGUGGGAACAUACCUUUUGGUUCGGAACAACUGAGGGAAACUUCAGCUAAUACCGGAUAAGCCCUUACGGGGAAAGAUUUAUCGCCGAAAGAUUGGCCCGCGUCUGAUUAGCUAGUUGGUGAGGUAACGGCUCACCAAGGCGACGAUCAGUAGCUGGUCUGAGAGGAUGAUCAGCCUCACUGGGACUGAGACACGGCCCAGACUCCUACGGGAGGCAGCAGUGGGGAAUAUUGGACAAUGGGGGCAACCCUGAUCCAGCCAUGCCGCGUGAGUGAUGAAGGCCUUAGGGUUGUAAAGCUCUUUUGCCCGGGAAGAUGAUGACGGUACCGGGAGAAUAAGCCCCGGCUAACUUCGUG
Molecule: ribosomal RNA, 431 nt
Filed under: uncultured bacterium
Lineage: Bacteria
Description: partial 16S ribosomal RNA
Rfam family: Bacterial small subunit ribosomal RNA
Source: RNAcentral